AGACAUUUGGCCUAGUGGUUAGGGCGUGUUAGGAUUGAGGAUUACGAGAUUAGGGGUUCAAUUCCCUUAGUGUUCA
Ramularia collo-cygni is the source of this 76-nucleotide non-coding RNA. The record is from the annotation of a RefSeq genome assembly. Lineage: Eukaryota; Fungi; Ascomycota; Dothideomycetes; Mycosphaerellales; Mycosphaerellaceae.